RNAcentral lists this ribosomal RNA (408 nucleotides) under uncultured bacterium. RNAcentral's name for it is "partial 16S ribosomal RNA". It matches the Rfam family "Bacterial small subunit ribosomal RNA", at positions 355 to 755 of the family's 1533-position model. The record is from RNAcentral.
UGGGGAAUUUUGGACAAUGGGCGAAANCCUGAUCCAGCAAUGCCGCGUGUGUGAAGAAGGCCUUCGGGUUGUAAAGCACUUUUGUCCGGAAAGAAAUCCUUGGCUCUAAUACAGUCGGGGGAUGACGGUACCGGAAGAAUAAGCACCGGCUAACUACGUGCCAGCAGCCGCGGUAAUACGUAGGGUGCAAGCGUUAAUCGGAAUUACUGGGCGUAAAGCGUGCGCAGGCGGUUUGCUAAGACCGAUGUGAAAUCCCCGGGCUCAACCUGGGAACUGCAUUGGUGACUGGCAGGCUAGAGUAUGGCAGAGGGGGGUAGAAUUCCACGUGUAGCAGUGAAAUGCGUAGAGAUGUGGAGGAAUACCGAUGGCGAAGGCAGCCCCCUGGGCCAAUACUGACGCUCAUGCACG